UUCUUGGCUGUUAACUGGUAGCUCUUUGUUGGAAAGUAUUCUUCUUCAUCAUGGUUAUCAAACAAUUCCUGUUACAACAAAAGUGGCUGAUGUGUCAGUCCGUGUUGGCAUUGAGUUAUAGUUUGACCAGCAAGUGUGUCAGCCAAGUGAGAAGGUCCUGGACUGGAUCCAAACUUAAAUAGAUUGAACAAUUGCAUUUUGGCUAUUUGAUGAAUGUUAGAGAUUGAAUGAAGCAGCUUCAUAAAAGCUCAAAAGAAUCCUCAUCAACAUGCCAAAUUGAGCUCCAAUGGUUACCCACAUAAUGCCAAGACUUGAAGGUUGGAAAUUUAGUUAUCUUGAUAUUCUAAUGAUGGAUUUGGAUGGCGUCUUUACUUCAGAGUUAUGUAAGUAGAAAUUUGACAGUAAUGCCAUUUAGGAAAAUAACAAAAACUUUGAGAAAUGAAAUUUACGUGUUUGAAGAGGUUCUGAUA
Magnolia sinica is the source of this 470-nucleotide long non-coding RNA. RefSeq lists it as uncharacterized. The record is from RefSeq and is a predicted model, not a curated record. Lineage: Eukaryota; Viridiplantae; Streptophyta; Magnoliopsida; Magnoliales; Magnoliaceae. The transcript has 2 exons.